Molecule: long non-coding RNA, 221 nt
Organism: Arabidopsis thaliana (thale cress)
Lineage: Eukaryota; Viridiplantae; Streptophyta; Magnoliopsida; Brassicales; Brassicaceae
Product: other RNA
Exons: 1
Source: RefSeq
AAAAAAGUGCCGUGUCUAUGUUUGUUUUUCUUUUGUUAUUUGUUGGUUUUUUUUUGGUGUGGUUUCUAUAGACUUUUCUUUUAAAAAAGAUUACAGUCCAAUAAGAAAUUGAAAUAGUAAUUGGGCUAACGUGGGUUAGCCAGAGUUACAGAAAGAGAGAAUUUUCGGUGAAGCUAAUCGGAGUAUAAAAGGAAAAACUGUCAAGCUUUUAUGCAAUUUUC